Molecule: long non-coding RNA, 442 nt
Organism: Herpailurus yagouaroundi (jaguarundi)
Lineage: Eukaryota; Metazoa; Chordata; Mammalia; Carnivora; Felidae
Exons: 3
Source: RefSeq, a predicted model, not a curated record
UCACUAUGAUAAAUUCUGCAGUGACUAUCUUUGUGCAUAAAACCUUUUCUGUUCCCAUCUAGGCAACUUCUAUAGAAAAAUCCACCUUCAGGAAGAGUAUUCGUGGGUCACAGUGAUGCUUCUUUCCAUGACCUUGGAAAGUUUGGCCAUGCAGAGCAUGAGCUAUGGAGCUGGAGUACCUGGGCUUAAAACCAGGCAUUUCUAGCCCUGGCCUCACCAGCCGCAUGACUUGAGGCCUGACACUUAGUAGAGAGGAAAAUAUACAAAUGGCCAAUAAGCACAUGAGCACAUCAUUUGUCAUCAGGGAAAUGAAAAUCCAAACCACAAUGAGAUAGCACAUCACACCUACUCGUACAGCUAGCAAAAGAUGGGAUAAUAACAAGCCUUCAUGAGGAUCUGGAAAAAUUGGAGCCUUCCUACACUGCUGAUGGGAUAUAAAAUG